Molecule: ribosomal RNA, 497 nt
Filed under: uncultured bacterium
Lineage: Bacteria
Description: partial 16S ribosomal RNA
Rfam family: Bacterial small subunit ribosomal RNA
Source: RNAcentral
GAUGAACGCUGGCGGCGUGCCUAAUACAUGCAAGUCGAGCGAACAGACGAGGAGCUUGCUCCUCUGACGUUAGCGGCGGACGGGUGAGUAACACGUGGAUAACCUACCUAUAAGACUGGGAUAACUUCGGGAAACCGGAGCUAAUACCGGAUAAUAUAUUGAACCGCAUGGUUCAAUAGUGAAAGACGGUUUUGCUGUCACUUAUAGAUGGAUCCGCGCCGCAUUAGCUAGUUGGUAAGGUAACGGCUUACCAAGGCAACGAUGCGUAGCCGACCUGAGAGGGUGAUCGGCCACACUGGAGCUGGGACGCGGUCCAGACUCCUACGGGAGGCAGCAGUAGGGAAUCUUCCGCAAUGGGCGGAAGCCUGACGGAGCAACGCCGCGUGAGUGAUGAAGGUCUUCGGAUCGUAAAACUCUGUUAUUAGGGAAGAACAAAUGUGUAAGUAACUAUGCACGUCUUGACGGUACCUGGUCAGAAAGCCACGGCUAACUACGUG